UCUCAAAGAUUAAGCCAUGCAUGUGUAAGUAUAAAUAAUUCUACUUUGAAACUGCGAAUGGCUCAUUAUAUCAGUUAUAGUUUAUUAGAAAAAAUGUACUACUUGGAUAACCGUAGUAAUUCUAGGGCUAAUACAUGAGUAAAUCCUCGACUUUGAAGAGGUGUGUUUAUUAGUAUGAAAACCAUAUGCUUCGGCAUGAUAGUGAGUAAUAAUAACCUUUCAUAUCGUAUGUUGAAAUAACGAUAGUUCUUUCAAGUUUCUGCCCUAUCAGCUUUCGAUGGUAGUGCAUUGGACUACCAUGGCAGUA
Molecule: ribosomal RNA, 307 nt
Filed under: Blastocystis sp. BO17-127
Lineage: Eukaryota; Bigyra; Opalinata; Blastocystidae
Also listed under: 3 other names
Description: SSU rRNA
Rfam family: Eukaryotic small subunit ribosomal RNA
Source: RNAcentral